Molecule: ribosomal RNA, 492 nt
Filed under: uncultured bacterium
Lineage: Bacteria
Description: partial 16S ribosomal RNA
Rfam family: Bacterial small subunit ribosomal RNA
Source: RNAcentral
AGUGAACGCUGGCGGUAGGCCUAACACAUGCAAGUCGAACGGCAGCACAGUAAGAGCUUGCUCUUACGGGUGGCGAGUGGCGGACGGGUGAGGAAUACAUAGGAAUCUACUUUUUCGUGGGGGAUAACGUAGGGAAACUUACGCUAAUACCGCAUACGACCUACGGGUGAAAGCAGGGGAUCUUCGGACCUUGCGCGAUUGAAUGAGCCGAUGUCGGAUUAGCUAGUUGGCGGGGUAAAGGCCCACCAAGGCGACGAUCCGUAGCUGGACUGAGAGGAUGAUCAGCCACACUGGAACUGAGACACGGUCCAGACUCCUACGGGAGGCAGCAGUGGGGAAUAUUGGACAAUGGGCGCAAGCCUGAUCCAGCCAUACCGCGUGGGUGAAGAAGGCCUUCGGGUUGUAAAGCCCUUUUGUUGGGAAAGAAAAGCAGCAGGUUAAUACCCCGCUGUUCUGACGGUACCCAAAGAAUAAGCACCGGCUAACUUCGUG